GAGUUCAAGAGUACGUGAAACCGUUCAGGGGUAAACCUGAGAAACCCGAAAGGUCGAUGGGGGAGAUUCAGUCGCGUUGCGGUUGUCCGGCGAGUUCGGAGGCGCGCGACGGUCGGCGCUCGCGUCGGCCGCGCCGCCUCCUUCCGCACGGCUCCGUACGCGUGCACUUCUCCCCUCGUAGGACGUCGCGACCCGUUGGGUGUCGGUCUAAGGCCCGCGGUGGUGCCCUAACGGCGGCUUCUUGCCGUUCCGUUCGGACCCGCGGUGUCCCGGCCGGCUCGCCCGACGGUACGAAGAGACGCGGGGCCGCGACAUCAGUUCGCGUCCGACCCGUCGCAAGCGCGGACGGUAUAAUCCCGACGUCCGGACCUCGUCCGGGCCAGGGGCCGUCCCGCUGUUGGCGACGGAGUUCUCGGACAGACCCCGAACACGUCGGUCCGCGACGCUAUAGCUUUGGGUACUUUCAGGACCCGUCUUGAA
RNAcentral lists this ribosomal RNA (480 nucleotides) under Chrysobothris sp. S130. RNAcentral's name for it is "eukaryotic LSU rRNA". Lineage: Eukaryota; Metazoa; Arthropoda; Insecta; Coleoptera; Buprestidae. The record is from RNAcentral.